This 76-nucleotide transfer RNA is filed under the name Isoptericola halotolerans. RNAcentral's name for it is "tRNA-Arg". It matches the Rfam family "tRNA". From Rfam's summary of the family: Transfer RNA (tRNA) molecules are approximately 80 nucleotides in length. Their secondary structure includes four short double-helical elements and three loops (D, anti-codon, and T loops). The record is from RNAcentral. Lineage: Bacteria; Bacillati; Actinomycetota; Actinomycetes; Micrococcales; Promicromonosporaceae. RNAcentral also lists the same sequence under 3 other names.
GCGCCUGUAGCUCAGUGGAUAGAGCGUCUGCCUCCGGAGCAGAAGGUCGGGGGUUCGAGUCCCUCCAGGCGCACCA